UGUUUGAUGUUCUAACGUGGACCCGUGAUCCGGGUUGCGGACAGUGUCUGGUGGGUAGUUUGACUGGGGCGGUCUCCUCCUAAAGAGUAACGGAGGAGCACGAAGGUUGGCUAAUCCUGGUCGGACAUCAGGAGGUUAGUGCAAUGGCAUAAGCCAGCUUGACUGCGAGCGUGACGGCGCGAGCAGGUGCGAAAGCAGGUCAUAGUGAUCCGGUGGUUCUGAAUGGAAGGGCCAUCGCUCAACGGAUAAAAGGUACUCCGGGGAUAACAGGCUGAUACCGCCCAAGAGUUCAUAUCGACGGCGGUGUUUGGCACCUCGAUGUCGGCUCAUCACAUCCUGGGGCUGAAGUAGGUCCCAAGGGUAUGGCUGUUCGCCAUUUAAAGUGGUACGCGAGCUGGGUUUAGAACGUCGUGAGACAGUUCGGUCCCUAUCUGCCGUGGGCGCUGGAGAACUGAGGGGGGCUGCUCCUAGUACGAGAGGACCGGAGUGGACGCAUCACUGGUGUUCGGGUUGUCAUGCCAAUGGCACUGCCCGGUAGCUAAAUGCGGAAGAGAUAAGUGCUGAAAGCAUCUAAGCACGAAACUUG
This 586-nucleotide ribosomal RNA is filed under the name Salmonella enterica. RNAcentral describes it as "partial 23S ribosomal RNA". It matches the Rfam family "Bacterial large subunit ribosomal RNA", at positions 2211 to 2796 of the family's 2925-position model. RNAcentral also lists the same sequence under 1 other name. Lineage: Bacteria; Pseudomonadati; Pseudomonadota; Gammaproteobacteria; Enterobacterales; Enterobacteriaceae. The record is from RNAcentral.